UUAAUUGAAGCUAAAAUAGAAGCAUAUCAUUGUUAAUGAUUAAAUUGAAUUAAAUUCCAAUUAAA
RNAcentral lists this transfer RNA (65 nucleotides) under Semidalis aleyrodiformis. RNAcentral describes it as "tRNA-Asn". Lineage: Eukaryota; Metazoa; Arthropoda; Insecta; Neuroptera; Coniopterygidae. The record is from RNAcentral.